This 492-nucleotide ribosomal RNA is filed under the name uncultured bacterium. RNAcentral's name for it is "partial 16S ribosomal RNA". It matches the Rfam family "Bacterial small subunit ribosomal RNA", at positions 29 to 507 of the family's 1533-position model. The record is from RNAcentral.
AGUGAACGCUGGCGGUAGGCCUAACACAUGCAAGUCGAACGGCAGCACAGUAAGAGCUUGCUCUUACGGGUGGCGAGUGGCGGACGGGUGAGGAAUACAUCGGAAUCUACUUUUUCGUGGGGGAUAACGUAGGGAAACUUACGCUAAUACCGCAUACGACCUACGGGUGAAAGCAGGGGAUCUUCGGACCUUGCGCGAUUGAAUGAGCCGAUGUCGGAUUAGCUAGUUGGCGGGGUAAAGGCCCACCAAGGCGACGAUCCGUAGCUGGUCUGAGAGGAUGAUCAGCCACACUGGAACUGAGACACGGUCCAGACUCCUACGGGAGGCAGCAGUGGGGAAUAUUGGACAACGGGCGCAAGCCUGAUCCAGCCAUACCGCGUGGGUGAAGAAGGCCUUCGGGUUGUAAAGCCCUUUUGUUGGGAAAGAAAAGCAGCAGGUUAAUACCCCGCCGUUCUGACGGUACCCAAAGAAUAAGCACCGGCUAACUUCGUG